This 253-nucleotide ribosomal RNA is filed under the name uncultured bacterium. RNAcentral's name for it is "partial 16S ribosomal RNA". It matches the Rfam family "Bacterial small subunit ribosomal RNA", at positions 524 to 776 of the family's 1533-position model. The record is from RNAcentral.
UACGGAGGGGGCUAGCGUUGUUCGGAAUUACUGGGCGUAAAGCGCACGUAGGCGGCUUUGCAAGUCAGAGGUGAAAGCCCGGGGCUCAACCCCGGAAUUGCCUUUAAGACUGCAUCGCUUGAAUCCGGGAGAGGUGAGUGGAAUUCCGAGUGUAGAGGUGAAAUUCGUAGAUAUUCGGAAGAACACCAGUGGCGAAGGCGGCUCACUGGACCGGCAUUGACGCUGAGGUGCGAAAGCGUGGGGAGCAAACAGG